Molecule: ribosomal RNA, 252 nt
Filed under: uncultured bacterium
Lineage: Bacteria
Description: partial 16S ribosomal RNA
Rfam family: Bacterial small subunit ribosomal RNA
Source: RNAcentral
UACGGAGGAUGCGAGCGUUAUCCGGAUUUAUUGGGUUUAAAGGGUGCAUAGGCGGUCCGUUAAGUCAGCGGUAAAAUUGCGGGGCUCAACCCCGUCGAGCCGUUGAAACUGGCAGACUUGAGUUGGCGAGAAGUACGCGGAAUGCGCGGUGUAGCGGUGAAAUGCAUAGAUAUCACGCAGAACUCCGAUUGCGAAGGCGGCAUACCGGCGCCCUACUGACGCUGAGGCACGAAAGCGUGGGUAUCGAACAGG